Long non-coding RNA from Dermacentor albipictus, 341 nucleotides. RefSeq lists it as uncharacterized. The record is from RefSeq and is a predicted model, not a curated record. Lineage: Eukaryota; Metazoa; Arthropoda; Arachnida; Ixodida; Ixodidae.
GGGCACCCAUGAAUUGACAAAAGCUGUGAAACGACGUGCCCAUCUCAAUCCUUCUACAACACCUAGCUUCAAGGUGAAGGUGAUCAAAACUACAGCAACAUGCGAUGAAGCUCGGCAAAAGUUGCCACAAGCAGAAAAUUCGGACAAUGUCGACACAACAGAUCAAGAAAAAGGACGUGGUAAGCGGCGCAAAUACACACGCAUUUUGAGCUCGUCGGAUGAUUCGCAAGAGGAAGACAAUUUCAAUCUUCCGGAACCACCCAUCUCUCAAAGCACUUCAAGUGCCAGUAAUGAUGGCAGAACAACUUCCAGACAAAGGCUUACUGAAACAGCUUCUGAAA